GACUUAAGAUGGCGGCGUUUGCACGGAGUGCAAUCACUGCGUCCUUACGGGGGUUGCAAGGCGUCCGAAGUAUGAGUCCACUAACAAAAGUCCAGAAACUCGCCAGUUAAUAGUAUUGUGUCUCUUCAAAAUAUCGGAGAAUAAUUUCUUUCUCGCUGAUCGCCUAACUUCUACUGACGAAGCUUGGAAGUUGCAGAAGACAUGAUGUAUUGAGUAAAAGGAACUUCGGUACACAGGCCUUUAGUGAUGUGGUGGUAAGAUGUAUGGUACUGGCUCCUGUAUCACCCAGCUCUGGAGUUGAAAGAGCUCUUCAUUCCUGAGUCUCCUGUACCACUGAGAAUAGAAAUACAAAAAAAAUUCUAAAACUUGUAUGGAACUACAAAAGACAUUAAAUAAUCAAAGUAAUCUUGAGCAACAAGGACACAGCUGGAGGCAUCACUCUACCUGAUUUUGUAAUCCAUUAUCAAAAAACUGUGGUACCAGCAUAAAAACAGAUUCACUGACCAGUGGAACAGGAAAGCCCAGACAUAACUCAUACAUUUCCAUCCAAUUGAUUUUUGACAAAAGUGGCACACAGAAUGGGGAGAGGACAAAUAAAUAAAUAAAUUGUUUUGAGAUAUCUGUAUAUCUAUAUGUGAAAUUGAACCAUUUUCUCAUAGCAUAUAGAAAAAUCAACUCAAAAUGGAUUAAAGCCUGAAAUGUUGCCUUUGAAACUGUAAAACUACUAGUAGAAAAUAUA
RNAcentral lists this long non-coding RNA (739 nucleotides) under Homo sapiens (human). RNAcentral's name for it is "JPX transcript, XIST activator". The stretch from base 1 to 121 matches the Rfam family "JPX transcript, XIST activator conserved region 1", at positions 15 to 135 of the family's 135-position model. Lineage: Eukaryota; Metazoa; Chordata; Mammalia; Primates; Hominidae. The record is from RNAcentral.